AUUCAUCUCCGGGGGUAGAGCACUGUUUCGGCUAGGGGGCCAUCCCGGCUUACCAACCCGAUGCAAACUGCGAAUACCGGAGAAUGUUAUCACGGGAGACACACGGCGGGUGCUAACGUCCGUCGUGAAGAGGGAAACAACCCAGACCGCCAGCUAAGGUCCCAAAGUCAUGGUUAAGUGGGAAACGAUGUGGGAAGGCCCAGACAGCCAGGAUGUUGGCUUAGAAGCAGCCAUCAUUUAAAGAAAGCGUAAUAGCUCACUGGUCGAGUCGGCCUGCGCGGAAGAUGUAACGGGGCUAAACCAUGCACCGAAGCUGCGGCAGCGACGCUGAUGCGUUGUUGGGUAGGGGAGCGUUCUGUAAGCCUGCGAAGGUGGCCUGUGAGGGUUGCUGGAGGUAUCAGAAGUGCGAAUGCUGACAUAAGUAACGAUAAAGCGGGUGAAAAGCCCGCUCGCCGGAAGACCAAGGGUUCCUGUCCAACGUUAAUCGGGGCAGGGUGAGUCGACCCCUAAGGCGAGGCCGAAAGGCGUAGUCGAUGGGAAACGGGUUAAUAUUCCCGUACUUGGUGUUACUGCGAAGGGGGGACGGAGAAGGCUAUGUUGGCCGGGCGACGGUUGUCCCGGUUUAAGCGUGUAGGUGUGUGUUCCAGGUAAAUCCGGUUCACUUUAACACUGAGGCGUGAUGACGAGGCACUACGGUGCUGAAGCAACAAAUGCCCUGCUUCCAGGAAAAGCCUCUAAGCAUCAGGUAACAUCAAAUCGUACCCCAAACCGACACAGGUGGUCAGGUAGAGAAUACCAAGGCGCUUGAGAGAACUCGGGUGAAGGAACUAGGCAAAAUGGUGCCGUAACUUCGGGAGAAGGCACGCUGACACGUAGGUGAAGUGAUUUACUCAUGGAGCUGAAGUCAGUCGAAGAUACCAGCUGGCUGCAACUGUUUAUUAAAAACACAGCACUGUGCAAACACGAAAGUGGACGUAUACGGUGUGACGCCUGCCCGGUGCCGGAAGGUUAAUUGAUGGGGUCAGCGCAAGCGAAGCUCCUGAUCGAAGCCCCGGUAAACGGCGGCCGUAACUAUAACGGUCCUAAGGUAGCGAAAUUCCUUGUCGGGUAAGUUCCGACCUGCACGAAUGGCGUAAUGAUGGCCAGGCUGUCUCCACCCGAGACUCAGUGAAAUUGAACUCGCUGUGAAGAUGCAGUGUACCCGCGGCAAGACGGAAAGACCCCGUGAACCUUUACUAUAGCUUGACACUGAACAUUGAGCCUUGAUGUGUAGGAUAGGUGGGAGGCUUUGAAGUGUGGACGCCAGUCUGCAUGGAGCCGACCUUGAAAUACCACCCUUUAAUGUUU
RNAcentral lists this ribosomal RNA (1347 nucleotides) under Salmonella enterica subsp. enterica serovar Ohio. RNAcentral's name for it is "partial 23S ribosomal RNA". It matches the Rfam family "Bacterial large subunit ribosomal RNA", at positions 888 to 2215 of the family's 2925-position model. The record is from RNAcentral. Lineage: Bacteria; Pseudomonadati; Pseudomonadota; Gammaproteobacteria; Enterobacterales; Enterobacteriaceae.